Molecule: long non-coding RNA, 1941 nt
Organism: Astatotilapia calliptera (eastern happy)
Lineage: Eukaryota; Metazoa; Chordata; Actinopteri; Cichliformes; Cichlidae
Source: Ensembl
AGCAAAAGGAAAACAUUUCAACUCAACAAACCACUGCGACUAGUUAAAGCACUUUAACUACAGUUUUUCGAGUGACUAAGAUGUAUCAAACUGAAACCAGCGCGGUUCUUAAGAAUGUGGGAGCCGAUGCAGAACUCAUCUCUAAUAACAACUUAAAUAACAAGAUGGAUCUGCUGACUCUGGUCAAAGUCAGUGAGGGAAGAUUCUGGCCCGUACCAAAGUACAAGCCCAUGGAGUUCAGCCUGUCUGAGCUGGCCGAGCUUGAGGAGGAAGAAGACACAUGUAAAGAUUAUAAGGAGGAGGUCUUGGUGAAGGAUUUCACGACUACUAUGGAGACAAAGGGGAGUGGAGAAAUUGGUGGGGGAGAUGAUAUUGUGGGUAAAGCCAAAGUUGAGGCAACUGGUGAUACCGUGGAUGGACUGGAACAACCUGUGAGCAUUAUAAAAAAGAAAGCCGACGUUAAAAAACUGAGGAACAAGUUCAGUGGCAGGAAAAUAAAGAAGGAAAACAUGGAGUUACUGGGACUGAAGGACAAUGACAAACUGACUUUUGUUUACCAGAAAGUUUACAACAGCGGGCCUGUCAAGAUGAUUCGAAAGUCUAACAAGAGUGGGUCCAUCUCAGCCUCCUGUCAGAAGAUGCUGCAUGUUCUUAUAAAGGGCAGCAAGAAGGAGGUGACGAGCUUCACUGUGCCGGAAAACUCCACCUUUGGUUUUGGUCUCAUGGAGCUAAAGAUGGAUGAUGAGAAGCUGAAAAUCACAUGUGAACCCUUUACUCAUAAAACAGGUUUAUUCGGUCUGUUUGCCAACGAUGCCAUCAACUCCAAAGAGAUGCUGCACAAAGUGAAAGAAGAACUGGAGACGAAGGAUCAUCUUCUGCUGCCGCUCGGAGAGCUUCCCGAGUCGACCCGUCGUGAUCUGCUGAAGAAGCUCAGCGAGCUUGCUGAGGACGGAGAUACUCUCUCUCUGCUGGAACAGACACUGGACCAGUGCACUAAAGGAACCUCUGAGCAUGUACUGUCUGAGGCUGUCUCCUCCUUCAUGGACCUUCUUGAUAUCUCAAACAUCUCCAGUGCUGUGAAGGAUGCCGUUCAUCUGUUGGUCAGCACGUUGGACACUCUGCCAGAUGAAGUGCCACCACUUCUGACCCGCUGCAGUCCAGAUACUCUGAGAGUCCUCAACCAGCUGGUGGAUGGUCUGAAGGACGGUCGGGCCACACUGCCAGAGUCCCUGCCCGUCCCCCUGCAGGAGGGAGGGGAGCUCCGCUGGGCAGCCGAGUUCAUCUGUUUGAACGAUCAGAAGCUGAAAGAGUUGAGUGACGGCUGGGACCGGCCCGAGCUGCCCCCAGAGGUUCUGCUGGAGGUUCUGUGCCUCGCUGUGCAGGGACUCAGCCUGAUGCAGCCCACAACAAACCCUUAAUGUCAGCUGCUGUGAUCUUUGUUAACCUGUUUUCACAGCAGCUGAUUUUAUAUUGUGUGCAGCUUCAAAGCAGGUAACAUCAGUACCUACAGCUGGGUUGAUUCCAGCUUUUGUGUUGCAGCGUUUCUCUGCCUUUAUUGUCUUUCCCAGGAGCAAAAUGACUUUAAUUUGUAAUAACAAUAAUAAUAAUAAUAAUUUACUUCAUGAUUCUUGUCAUUUAUUGGUUUUGUUGCAGUCUUUGUUUAUAGUUCCUGUUCCCUUCUGUGUUCCCCAUCUCUGUCUCCACGUUUUAAUAUUCUGAAUGUGAAUUUAUUAUUCUCCUUGUUCUGAAUUAAAGCUUUAUGAUUUACUGAAAAGAGCGAGUGGAGCCUUUAAAUCUAAGAAAAUUUUUUUUACAAGAACCCCUAAAAACACAUAAAUGACAGCAGAUAAGGAUCAGCGCCGAGGUAAUGACACUGACAUUCAGAGAAAGGUUGUAAUUCAAAAAUAAUUAGGAAAGUAAUUUAAAAAAAUCAGUGUUCAC